This 71-nucleotide transfer RNA is filed under the name Candidatus Pacearchaeota archaeon. Its description in RNAcentral is "tRNA-Ala". It matches the Rfam family "tRNA". From Rfam's summary of the family: Transfer RNA (tRNA) molecules are approximately 80 nucleotides in length. Their secondary structure includes four short double-helical elements and three loops (D, anti-codon, and T loops). Further hydrogen bonds mediate the characteristic L-shaped molecular structure. tRNAs have two regions of fundamental functional importance: the anti-codon, which is responsible for specific mRNA codon recognition, and the 3' end, to which the tRNAs corresponding amino acid is attached (by aminoacyl-tRNA synthetases). tRNAs cope with the degeneracy of the genetic code in two manners: having more than one tRNA (with a specific anti-codon) for a particular amino acid; and 'wobble' base-pairing, i.e. permitting non-standard base-pairing at the 3rd anti-codon position. Lineage: Archaea; Nanobdellati. The record is from RNAcentral.
GGGCCUGUAGUACAAUGGUAGUGCACCUCGUUUGCAACGAGGAAACCCGUGUUCGAUUCACGGCAGGUCCA